UUGAAAGGGAAACGAUUGAAGUCAGUCGUACCUAUGGGUAAUCAGCCUUUUGGGUGUGAUUUUGUGGAGCGUGAGGAGUUAAACGCCUUCAUGCCUGCAUAUUCGUGCACUUUGGGUGUACUUGCCCGUAUGGUUGGUUAACAUCAAUUUUGGUGGUCAUAAAAUGACUGGAGGAAUGUAGCUUCGAUCUCGUAUUGAAGUGUUAUAGCCUCCGGUAGAUGUGAUGAUCGAGAUUGAGGAUUGCAACGGAUACCUUUCGGGGCUACCUGUCUGAUCUCUGAUCGUUGCUUUGGUGCUGAAAGCGUGCUUAUAGUUAUCAAAGUCGAUGGUCAAUAGGUUAGAAUGGGUUAAAUUCGUUAAGGAUGUUGACGUA
RNAcentral lists this ribosomal RNA (373 nucleotides) under uncultured Glomeromycotina. RNAcentral's name for it is "LSU rRNA". The record is from RNAcentral. Lineage: Eukaryota; Fungi; Glomeromycota.